UAUUGGUGCUGGAACGGCGU
RNAcentral lists this unclassified non-coding RNA (20 nucleotides) under Chlamydomonas reinhardtii. RNAcentral describes it as "small RNA Cre_2423". Lineage: Eukaryota; Viridiplantae; Chlorophyta; Chlorophyceae; Chlamydomonadales; Chlamydomonadaceae. The record is from RNAcentral.